AAAGAGGCCUUUGGAGAGAAUGGCCUCUUACAAGACAAACAAGGAACAGACGGACGUUUAUCAACGCCGCUGCUCUGUUUUACAUUUUGUGUCACUGAGGUGGUGUCACUAAGUAGCUCAUGCUGGCCUUGAACUAUCUAGCUUCCUGUCUUAACCGUUGUGAUUACCCGUGUGCUCCACCAUGUCUGGCUAAUGCUGUGCCCCAUCAUGGCGAUUUCCUUUACGCAGGGAGGCCGUCUUGGAGACUCAUGUUUGGUUUGGUUUGCACAUUCGUGGGCAGAUCCUGACUCUGAAGAAAUGAGUGUUUGGCUACUUCAGGUCCAGGAAUUAUAAAUGUGACUCGAGUUCUUCCCUGGGUAACUGCCUGAAAUUCCUGACAAUGGCAACAUAGGAGAACGGAUGGUUUGGGGGAUUUUGUUUUGUUUUCUUUAUGCAGAAAAUUAAACUCUGUUCUUAAGCUGUA
This is a long non-coding RNA of Mesocricetus auratus (golden hamster), 463 nucleotides long. RefSeq lists it as uncharacterized. The transcript is spliced from 2 exons. Lineage: Eukaryota; Metazoa; Chordata; Mammalia; Rodentia; Cricetidae. The record is from RefSeq and is a predicted model, not a curated record.